GAUGAAGAACGUAGCGAAAUGCGAUAAGUAAUGUGAAUUGCAGAAUUCAGUGAAUCAUCGAGUCUUUGAACGCACAUUGCGCCCCCUGGUAUUCCGGGGGGCAUGCCUGUCCGAGCGUCAUUGCUGCCCUCAAGCACGGCUUGUGUGUUGGGCCCCGUCCUCCGAUUCCGGGGGACGGGCCCGAAAGGCAGCGGCGGCACCGCGUCCGGUCCUCGAGCGUAUGGGGCUUUGUCACCCGCUCUGUAGGCCCGGCCGGCGCUUGCCGAUCAACCCAAAUUUUUAUCCAGGUUGACCUCGGAUCAGGUAGGGAUACCCGCUGAACUUAAGCAUAUCAAUAACGGAGGA
This 345-nucleotide unclassified non-coding RNA is filed under the name soil metagenome. RNAcentral's name for it is "partial contains 5.8S ribosomal RNA, internal transcribed spacer 2, and large subunit ribosomal RNA". The stretch from base 1 to 120 matches the Rfam family "5.8S ribosomal RNA", at positions 35 to 154 of the family's 154-position model. The record is from RNAcentral.